This is a small nucleolar RNA of Octodon degus (degu), 127 nucleotides long. Lineage: Eukaryota; Metazoa; Chordata; Mammalia; Rodentia; Octodontidae. The record is from Ensembl.
UGCCAAUACUCAUAUUAACUUUGUGUCAUUAACAAUGUGCUAAUUAAACUUUGGAACAUUGAAACUAGCUAAGGAAAAUGAUUGCACAGAAAAUGUUAUUCUAUUCAUUUAUCCUCAGCCUACAAAU